UUAAUGUUCUUGAACUUCACAAUUUUUUAUUAUUAGUUGACAAAAAUUACAUUGAAAAUAUAAAAUAUGUAUCUUUUUGAAACAAAAAAAUUAUCUGGAUCUUUUAAGAACAGAGGAAGUAUAAUCUAAUAAACUAAUUAUAAUUAAAAUAAACAAAAAAUAAAACAAAUAAAAAUCCCCUCCCCCCCCCCCCCUCCCCCCCUCACGCCAUCGUUGUGUCCGCCUCUCUCUCCCUAACUCUCUCGGUGGCGACAAAGACUCAAGCUCUCCCCCGACGAGUGCUCAUCUUCUCCGGCGUAAGUAGUGCCCUUCAACUCUUCUUCUUCGGUUUCCUCUCACGGUGUGUGCUCCGGCUUCAUCUUUGUGGAUAGCGGUUGAACAAGAAAAUGCAGCUUAUUACUCGCAGCAGUUUAAGGCAAUGGAAGCAGGUUUUGUUUCUAGGGAUGAGGAAUCAUCACUGGUCGCUGCAGAGAAUGGUGUGAUGUGAGCGGUAGAAGAGACACUCCGUCUUCUUCUUUGAGCAAUUCGAUCGAGUCUUUGAGGACCAUCUUGUCUGAUCCUAUAACGUAUGUUCUUUGAAGUGAAAAGUAAAUUUGUUUGUGACUGUAGUAAUCUUUAGACAAACAGCUAUUAGUGGUACAGAGUUUAAUCUAUUGCUAUCGAUAAUUCUUGUGUUUAAUCUAUUAAUUUUAUUCUGUCUAUUUGCAUAAUCUUAGAGGGGCUUUGAUGUCUGAUGCUAUGAUUUUGCCUUGCGGACACACUUUUGGAACUGGAGAAAUAGAACAAGUUAAACAAAUGAUCCAGAGUUUUAUGUCUUUCAUCACAGUCUCUUCUUUUACUCUUUGCUAUUCUAUUAUCUUUUCUUGUGCUUAUGGAAUCUGUUUUUUUCGCUGUGUUCGCUUAGAAAGCUUGCUGCACUUGUAGGAUGGGAAGCUGUUGGGACUACUCAAUGUUUGAACGGCUGGUGAAGUCUAUGAUUCCUGGAUUAUGACUUUAUGGUAUGUUUUGGUGAAAACACUAGACAAUGCAGAGAGCGUUAAGCUUCGGUAUCGUUCACUGGCCAAAGCCACAGAAGAUCCAUCAGCCAAGGCAACACCAAGCAAGAUGAUCUCCAGCUGGCUCUAAGCAGACCUUCCUUGUGAAGAGACUACUUUCUGAUAGUACGUUCUCUAUGUAAGGAACAGAAACCUAUCUACAGAUCAUAGAUCACAGUUACAUAUUGUAAAUUAUUGUAGUAGUUGCUCCAUGGCAUAUCUUUGAAGAAAUUAGGUUUUGGGCAAAAGCCAGGCUACUAAUAGCUUGAACAAUCCGAAUCAUAUGAUGAAAUACAUAGUUACUCUGCUCUCAGUUUUGUUUUACUAUCCAAACAGAACAAAAUUGCUGAAAAUAAUGAAAACAUAUUCAGAUCA
Long non-coding RNA from Brassica napus (rape), 1409 nucleotides. RefSeq lists it as uncharacterized. The transcript is spliced from 2 exons. NCBI's taxonomy places the organism in Eukaryota, Viridiplantae, Streptophyta, Magnoliopsida, Brassicales, Brassicaceae. The record is from RefSeq and is a predicted model, not a curated record.